RNAcentral lists this ribosomal RNA (874 nucleotides) under uncultured bacterium. RNAcentral's name for it is "bacterial SSU rRNA". It matches the Rfam family "Bacterial small subunit ribosomal RNA", at positions 28 to 896 of the family's 1533-position model. The record is from RNAcentral.
GACGAACGCUAGCGGCGCGCUUAACACAUGCAAGUCGAACGCCAACGGUUGACUUCGGUUGGCUUAGUAGCGUGGCGAACGGGUGAGUAUCGCGUAGGCAACCUGCCCUUUAGUGGGGAAUAAGCCCGGGAAACCGGGUACAAUACCGCAUGUUGUCCCGAGAACAGAUGUUUUUGGGAUUAAAGCCUUCGGGCGCUAAGGGAUGGGCCUGCGUUCUAUUAGCUUGUUGGUGAGGUAACGGCUCACCAAGGCGACGAUGGAUAGCUGGUCUGAGAGGACGAUCAGCCACACUGGGACUGAGAUACGGCCCAGACUCCUACGGGAGGCAGCAGUGAGGAAUAUUGCGCAAUGGACGAAAGUCUGACGCAGCGACGCCGCGUGUGCGACGAAGCCCUUCGGGGUGUAAAGCACUGUCCAGAGGGAAGAAUGCCCGUUUCGGCGGGAGCGACGGUACCUCUGUAGAAAGCUCCGGCUAACUCCGUGCCAGCAGCCGCGGUAAUACGGGGGGAGCAAGCGUUGUCCGGAUUUACUGGGCGUAAAGGGCGUGUAGGCGGAAUGGUCAGUCGAUGGUGAAAUCUCCGGGCUUAACCCGGAGCUUGCCUUCGAUACUGCCAUUCUUGAGUGCAGGAGAGGGUAGUGGAAUUCCCGGUGUAGCGGUGGAAUGUGCAGAUAUCGGGAGGAACACCUGUUGCGAAGGCGGCUGCCUGGCCUGACACUGACGCUGAGGCGCGAAAGCGUGGGUAGCAAACAGGAUUAGAUACCCUGGUAGUCCACGCCGUAAACGAUGGGUACUAGGUGUCGGAGGAUUUCGACCCCUCCGGUGCCGCAGUUAACGCAUUAAGUACCCCGCCUGGGGAGUACGAUCGCAAGGUUG